AGGAAGAAUGCACUUUGCUAGUGCCAGGUGAGGCAUAGGCAGGCAGGCUCCCAGACCGUGGGAGUUGGAGAUGCACAGGCAGGAGCACAAGUGCUUGCAGACAUCCCAGGGAGAUUGCAGUUGCCACCUGAGGAUCCCAGAGACUCUGAAGACACCCUGGCUUCAACUGCAGGAGUCAUGUGAGGGGCGCCACUCAGGACGGUCAGCGGGAGCCUGCGGCGGAGCAAGGAGGAGACAGCUGGGCACGGCGACCAGCGUGGCAGAGCGAUGGAGCCAUUGGGGGAGACGUGACACGGUUCUGAGCUCAGGCGCUGUGGAAUUUUCAUGAUGCCGUUCAGGGUGGCAACAGGAAACAGGAGUUGUGAAGCAGUCACAGGCUGUAACAGGCCCUUCACGUCUCCUCAGAUGCUGUUAGCAGGGGGAGGAAGCACCUGUUUGGGGUCACCUGCUGGCUGCAAUUCUCCUGUCCUUUGGCACUGGAAUAGGGGGACCUUCCCCUAUAUUUCCAGACACUUGGCCUCCUGCAGAUGCCCAGUCUGACUGCAAACCUGUGAAAUAACCUCGGAGUGACACAAUUUGCUGUAGGAAAAUAGCCCGAGUCCAGCCUUCCCUCUCCUCCCACCUGCCUUCUCCUUCACUGCUGCAGUCUCCAGGAAAUCCUGUAAAUGAUGAGAGAGUUAUUUAUGGGCAGCAGGCAGUGGAGGCAAUCCACCUUGGGACUCGACCAGUGAAAAUCCCUGCAGGCAGCACUUGUGGGCCAGGGUGGAGAAUGAGCCAGUCUGCUGGGUGUUUCUUGACUCUAUCUACAGGCCCUGAAUGGGACACAGAAGUAAAAGGCCACUGAAUUAUCUGCUAAAUCCAUUGCCUUGUUCAGCAGCUCAGUGGGCUGACUAAGCUCCUAACCAGCUUGUAAGAGAGGUGAGAACUAGCUUUGGAGUUGAGGCUGUUUCCAAGCUGAGCUAUCACAGCUGCAAACCAUUAUUGGGGAACAGUUACACACACUAACUCUAGCCACCAAUGUCCAUACAAUUUUAUGGCCCUAAUCCAGCCAUCUCAUCUAAUAGGUGACUAUAUAAACUGUGUUUAAGUAAUGUGACCUGACAGGCAGUGCAUUUCUUUGUGAUUAUAGCAUGUGCCAUACAGCACAAAGCUAAAGGCAAUAAUCCCCAAGAGGUGUAUUGCCCUGGGUGUCUAAUUACUAUUAUGAAAUGAAUGUUUUCAUUAACAUGUAAUUUCAAGAAACUGUGCAUUCAAGCUAUGAUUAUGAUGUAACUGACAGCCAAUCGAAAGCUCCAGUCCUAUGAAGGUUGCAAAAGCCAUUUAUGCAUCAUGUAAAAACACAUACCGCAUGGGUUAAGGUUAAUGAUAUCCGGUUUGCAAAUAUUUAUUUCUGCAGCCAGGUGAUAUAUGGGACCCUUGUGUGAUGAGCAGCAUUUCAUUUUCAACUUGGAGCAGCUCACCUGCUCCCUGCUUACUCAUCCACCUCCUCAGCCCGGGCUAAUUAACACAUGCCAAACUCUGAGCAGCUUUCAGACACCCAGGUAAGAACAAAUGCAACAAACAAUUUAUUCCCUCCCUUGGGGGAAAUGAGGAAUAACCCCUCAGCCCCCCUCACCAAAAAAAAAAGCAACUAUUGCCCUGGUCCAGGUUGGGCAAUAUUCAGUGGUGGACCAACAACAGUUUUAAGGUCUGAUAUCUUGCGACCCAUCAGGGCUAGAAAUACCUGCAAUAUCCUAUUGAGGACCCAGGCGUCCUGCUUUCUAACAUCUAGCUUUUAUGGGUUGUGAAAUCACAAACUGUAAAACUGACAGCCUGAUGUAAACAAAAAUGUCAUGGGAGGCCAAUUCUGCUCUCAGAUCCAUGAGCACAGCUCUCAUUGAAGUCGAUAGGUGGAAGUUCAGUGUAACUGAGUGUGUAACCAGGGCCAUAGGUUUUUAAGUUAUUCAUAUUAAAGAUGAAAUUGGAUCAGAACCUUGGCUCUAAAGACCCCUGAACUUCAGGGAAGUUCUGUUCUAAUUCUAGACUUCUCUGUUCAAGUUUGUCUGUAUAAUGAGCCCAAACAACCCACCCAACCCCCAAAUCUUGGCUUUGGGCCCUCUUCUUAAUUCAUAGCAAUAUUCCUGUCACCAUAGAGGCUUAUAAAAAGAAUUAAGUAUCAGGAUCUCAGGCACUGGUCAAGGCCAGUAGUCACAAUCUGCCCAGGUGUCCUGCUGUAGGAUUAGGUUGGAGACAGUGAGCUAUGCCAAGUCAAAAGUCCACUGUGUCUGCCAAGGUUGGGAUAGCGGAGCCAGGCAAGGUACCAGGAAAUACAAGAAGAAGCCAGGAUCUGCCUAGCUGCACAGAUAGCCUCCAACUGUUCUCCCUGGCCUUAAAUAACACACUGGAGCCAACCAGGGGACUCAGUAGACCCUGCCAAUCCUGGCCUCCAUGAGCAGCCUCCUCCGAGGUGCCUGUCUGCUGCUCUGCUAGAGUUGUCAAAUGGCAGCGUGGCUGCAGCAGCUACCAAGGAGCCAGCAGUCAUGGGUUCAAGAGCUUCAUGCUAAAGUAAUUUACAUACUGGUGGAGGGAUCUGAUUAUUGUUACAGUGGUUCUUGUUGUGCAAGGCCCUGCACAAACAUAGUGACAGACAGUCCCUACCCCAAAGAGUGUACACCCUAAAAAGGCAGGACAGACAAAGGGUGAGGGGAGGCAGAGGCCCUUGAUCACCCAGCAGGUCAGUGGCAGAGCCAGAGGAUUGGCCCAUGUCUCCUGACACGCGGUCCAGUCCCUGAUCCAUUAGACACACAUUAGAGAAACAUACAUGAAUCUUUUCUCUAAUGUGUCAUACUACCACCAGCUGUUAGGUUUAUAAUGGGUUGUUUUUUGGCACGUGCUUCACAAGACUUGCCUAAGCUAAGGGCUUUGCUUGUUGUGAGUGAUGCAGGUGCCCCAAACUUAGGCCAGUAUCACCCUCAUGCCACCACGUGUUCUGUAUGCUGGAUGAGAGACCAAGCCAUGUAACUUUCUUCAUCGUUAUAUUGGCAGGAGCCUAAGGUGACCACGCCCCCUAUGAGUUUAACUUGCUCUGCCACUAUCUUCCUAAGCACAUACUAGCAUGCCCAUCAAAGCAUUCAAAGCUUCCUGGAGCCACUGGUUGAAAUUACUAUAGCUCAGCCCUUCAUUCUUUCUAAGGAAGAAAAAGUGAGCCCCAUGCAGUGUAUAGCAUGGUGGUUUUCAGAACACUGGCAUUGCCAUGCCAGGUCAAACCAGUGGCCCAUCCACUAUCCUGUUUCUGACAGUGGCCAGUACCUCCAAGGAAUAUGCUAAACAGCAGUGAUGGGAAAACUGUCCUAACAUGACCAGAGGAAAGUUUCUUUCUAAGCUAGUCUUGUUGAGUCUUUCCUAUCCUAUUCUGCACAGAUGUAAAACUCCCAGAGCUCUUUCUGUGAGCAGGGGUGUGCUGUUGGGUA
Mauremys reevesii (Reeves's turtle) is the source of this 3449-nucleotide long non-coding RNA. RefSeq lists it as uncharacterized. The record is from RefSeq and is a predicted model, not a curated record. The transcript is spliced from 3 exons. NCBI's taxonomy places the organism in Eukaryota, Metazoa, Chordata, Testudines, Geoemydidae.